GAUGAAGAACGCAGCGAAAUGCGAUAAGUAAUGUGAAUUGCAGAAUUCAGUGAAUCAUCGAAUCUUUGAACGCACAUUGCGCCCGCCAGCAUUCUGGCGGGCAUGCCUGUUCGAGCGUCAUUUCAACCCUCGAGCCCCCCCGGGGGCCUCGGUGUUGGGGGACGGCACACCAGCCGCCCCCGAAAUGCAGUGGCGACCCCGCCGCAGCCUCCCCUGCGUAGUAGCACACACCUCGCAUCGGAGCGCGGAGGCGGUCACGCCGUAAAACGCCCAACUUUCUUAGAGUUGACCUCGGAUCAGGUAGGAAUACCCGCUGAACUUAAGCAUAUCAAUAAGCGGAGGA
RNAcentral lists this unclassified non-coding RNA (343 nucleotides) under soil metagenome. RNAcentral describes it as "partial contains 5.8S ribosomal RNA, internal transcribed spacer 2, and large subunit ribosomal RNA". The stretch from base 1 to 120 matches the Rfam family "5.8S ribosomal RNA", at positions 35 to 154 of the family's 154-position model. The record is from RNAcentral.